AAAGGCGAAACGAGGAGCUGAUGGCUUCGGAAGAGAUCUUUCCAGAAGAAAAUAGAUUUCCUUUUCGGGGUUCAGACAGAGGGAGUUCUAAUCCCAGCUUCUCCCCUCACCAGCUGGGUGAUGCUGGGAAAGGAACUUACCUUCCCCAAACCUUCAUGUCCUCCUCUGGGCUCCUGCUGAGCGAGGCUGAGACCACAAACAUCUGCCCACACCUCCCUCUCCCUGGCGCUCACCACACAGGUGGAGACCAGGCCAACGUUCACCUGGCUCAGUUCAGACUCACCCUCAGAGCAUUUGCAGGGCCUGGGCAGAGGGGCCGGGGUAGUGGGGGACUCUGGCUGUCAACUGGCUGCUCCCUCUAAUCUCUGACUCCCGAGGCAGAAGGAGACUUGAGAGGUCUCUACUGACCUUCCUAAGCCUUGAGAUUCCCCUAAGAGAUGCCAAGAUGUCUAAAUGGAACAGCCCUCGGGAGGCCUCCUGAAGUCUCAGGGGGAUGCCUUUUGGAGAAGAGGAUGGAGAGCCCAGUGGUUUUAAUCAGGGAGACUGAGCAUCGCACGCUUGGUCAACACUCACCUGUCGGCGAAGCCGUCAGCCGCUUGGCUCCCAGAGACAUCCAUGCUGUUCCAGGGCAUGACUCUGUGGCUCCCACCCCCGCUGCAGGCCUGUGGGGGUGGGAAACACUUGAAAUCCUGAGUCAGAGGAAAGGUUCCACUGCACUUUCCCUGGAACAGAAAGUCAAGGAUUCAGCAGUCUGCAUGGAGAGAAGGGAGAACUGGAAAGUGAGAAAGAACAGUGCUCGCUUCCUUCCCUUCCAUCUCUUUUAUUUUUAAAACAUUUUAUUCAUGUAUUUUUUUAUUCUGCCAUAUGUGAUGCAUGUUCAUUGCAGAAAAUACAUGCAAUGGAAAUAAGACUCAUUACUGAGAGUGUUUCUUUUUUCUGUCCUCUUACCCAUCCACAAGAGGUUUUUAGCUCACAAGCCAUGCCAGUUCCCCAGCUUGGACAGUUUGGUCUUUGCCAGAUCCAGUCCUGGAACUUUUGUAAUGUGGAAUUAGAAUGAGGGGUGUGGGGCUGCUAGUUGGAGAGAGAACACGAGAUACAGAGCCUGAGAGGCAGGGAGAAGGAAGGCCCAGUGCAGAAAGGCUAAUUGCUCUGUGUAAUAAAGAACUAGGAAGGAGAAGGGAGAAGGGAAAGACAGGGGUUGGAAAGGAAAAGUAGGAGGAAUGUUUUAUAAAGUACAGUAUUGACAUGGGGCAUUAAGUAGAUACCCUGUAAUUCCCCAAGUAGAGAUUGGAAUAAUUUUUUGUUUUUUGGCUCCAGGAUCGUAAUUCUUUAUUUGCAACUGCAUGGAGAGCCUUGACCAUAUAGAUACCCAGAAUUUAUUAGGCUUCCAUACAGGAAAGUACAAAAAUAUUAUUUGAGAAAUGAAAGAAGAGAGUCAAGUAUUUAUCAUGCUUUUUUUCCUACAAUUAUGAUUUAAUCUUGAAAAAUUCUGGCUAAUAAAUGUAAAUGGAAGGAUAGAAUUAUAAAAUCAUCAUUUUGCAACCUCUAAUGAGAUAAUGGAUUUAGGCAAGAAUCAUCAAUCAUCGAGGAUUCCUAUAGCCAUUGGAUGAAAGAUAAAGAGGAACUUUGUAAUGCCAAUGAUACUUGAACCUGUCAAUCAAUCUUGUUUGUCUUGUUUUUUAAUAGACAAGAUCUUGCUAUGUUGCCCAGAGUGGAGAGUGCAGUGGCUAGUCACAAGUGUAAUCAUAGUGUGCUGCAGCCUCCAGCUCCUGGGCUCAAAGGAUCCUCCUGCCUCA
Molecule: non-coding RNA, 1796 nt
Organism: Microcebus murinus (gray mouse lemur)
Lineage: Eukaryota; Metazoa; Chordata; Mammalia; Primates; Cheirogaleidae
Source: RefSeq, a predicted model, not a curated record